GAGUUUGAUCGUGGCUCAGGAUGAACGCUGGCGGCGUGCCUAAUACAUGCAAGUCGAACGCUUCACAUAUGUGAAGAGUGGCGAACGGGUGAGUAAUACAUAAGUAACCUGGCCUUUACAGGGGGAUAACUGUUGGAAACGAUAGCUAAGACCGCAUAGGUGUGAUAACCGCAUGGAGAUGACAUGAAAUAUGCUACGGCAUAGGUAGAGGAUGGACUUAUGGCGCAUUAGCUAGUUGGAGGGGUAACGGCCCACCAAGGCGACGAUGCGUAGCCGACCCCGAGAGGGUGACCGGCCACACUGGGACUGAGACACGGCCCAGACUCCUACGGGAGGCAGCAGUAGGGAAUUUUUCGGCAAUGGGGGAAACCCUGACCGAGCAACGCCGCGUGAAGGAAGAAGUAAUUCGUUAUGUAAACUUCUGUCAUAGAGGAAGAACGGUGCGUGUAGGGAUGACAUGCAAGUGACGGUACUCUAUAAG
Molecule: ribosomal RNA, 481 nt
Filed under: uncultured bacterium
Lineage: Bacteria
Description: bacterial SSU rRNA
Rfam family: Bacterial small subunit ribosomal RNA
Source: RNAcentral